Micropterus dolomieu (smallmouth bass) is the source of this 3748-nucleotide long non-coding RNA. RefSeq lists it as uncharacterized. NCBI's taxonomy places the organism in Eukaryota, Metazoa, Chordata, Actinopteri, Centrarchiformes, Centrarchidae. The record is from RefSeq and is a predicted model, not a curated record. The transcript has 2 exons.
AGCAACAGAAUGGAACCGAUGAUGCUGAUCCUUUAAUGCAGGAUUCUAGAACUCUAGCGCCUGCUUGACUCUAUAAAAGGACCUCAGAUUCUUACAGUGCAACUGCACACACGUGUUGUUAACCAGCUAAUAUACUACAGAGGCGAUCUUCUCCAGACAACCACAGACUGCUAAGGAUUACAGUCAGUUACAAGCCAAUUCAGUCUUCUACAGACAAACCACAGUCGACAAAACUGACAGAGUUGGCUUUCACCCUAUUGGACAGGUAAACUAACAUUACAAAGCAUAUGAAAUAUAUAGCAGUAACAAAGGACGACUAACACCUCUGACCCGAGACAGGGUUGGGAAGGCCCCACUGCGAGUUUCUCCAUUAAAGCCGACAAGAGACGGACCCCCGGAGCAAUUCCCUGGCAAAGAAGUUUGCCAAAGAAGUUUUAAGAUAAUUGAGCGAUUAUUAACUAACUGAUCACUAGGAAUAAUUGUAUAAUUAUUAAAAUGCUACCCAGAGGUCCGGAGACUCUGGGUUAAUAACAACUCCGGUGGUGCCUCGAAACGAGAGAUUUAUGGAUUAAUAUUUUCUGAAUAUUAAAAUUCAUAAUAUAUACAUAAAUUUAUUAAAAAUCAUACGUAGCUUUAGACCUGCUACACUAACAUUAUCCAAUUCAGUACUGCUGUUGUAUGGCUUGCCACAUUAACGUAGACUCACUGUAUUUCGGACAUCAUGGUAUUCCGGACACUUGACCUUUUCAUGCUCAUGCUAAUUUAUAAAUAAAUACUUCCAGGUCAUGCCAGUCGUUUGAAAGAAAUCAACGUGAGUUUCCAGCGUGCACCAAUGAGAAAAUGGCGGGGGGAGGGUUUUCCGGUCGGACAAAAAGAGGGGCGAGUCAUACCUCUGCUAAGAACAGCGUUUUAAACAUGAACACCCACCAGAAAAAUAUAAUAUCUAUCAUAAAAUAGUUAUGAGUUACAAUUGGCAAAUAUUUGAACUAUUUAAGGCAUACACACAUUUACUGAGGCACUUUGUCCGACAUGAAUUUGAGUGCCAGCGGCACAUCACAGCAUGUGAAGUUAACGUUAUUGUCCCUCGAUGUUAAAAUGUUAAUUCUAUAUUUGAGGACCCAAUAAAAAAUGACUCUAGACUUAAUGUUAUAAAAAGUAACAUAUGUUAUGUAGUGAACAGCCAGUGUGGAUUUGAUCAUUUUAUAUCAAAUAAAUUUGGAGAUCCCAAAUUCCUUUUUUGUCUCUCCCCGAGGAAAGAGGGGGCCUGACCCAAGUGAAAAGUUUGCUUUCCCUAAGUGCUGUUUUGGGCAGUUAGAUCGUAAAACUUACCACCUCGGGUGAAGCUGAGAUAAGACUCGAUGCCCUGACUGUUAAAAUGAUAAUAUCAACACUAACCAGAAACUUUUUGAGCAAUGUUUCUGGGCAAUCUUGUUAGUGGCAAGUCCGACUAUGUUUUUAACGGCUGGCGGCGGUGCGGGGCAGGUGGCGGAGUGGUGGGGUAAGGGCAUUACGGUAGUAAUCUUUACUCAUUACCAUUGACGGCAACAUUGCCCAGCACCAUUGCUCUAAAAGUUGCUCCGUGUAUCAUCAGCUUUAAUGUUUAACUACUGACAGUUGUUUUCCCUUUUUAUCAAAUGCUUAAAACCAAGAAUGGUAUAACUGUUUGACAUCUAAGGUUCCAUUGUGGAGAGGUAUUUGAUUAAAAUACGUGCAUAUAGUCUUUAGGACCAUAUUAAAAGUUAAUACACUGAAGUCUCGGAGGAGACCGGAAGCCAAGCCCCCUGGGGACACGCCCCAAGGGGCCAGACAAACAAAGCAGCAGAGCUCUUUGUUGCUCGCUCUCUUCCCUUGUUCUCUGGUCACUUCGCUCUUGCUCUCUACUCUACACGCUAACAGAGCGUGCUCCCAGCAACGCCCUAAGGAGUCCGGCCCGGCAUUGCCGUGAAGAUUCCUUUGUUCUUUACAAGCCACAAACGCGAAGAAGAGCCGCGACUACGGCUUUUCCCUCGUUUACAGCAACUUACUUGCUUUUGUAGCCCUGGUGUAAAAUAUAGGGAUUAAAAUAAGUUAGUUCCUAUCAAAAGCAGAAUAAAAUAAUUCAGUAUGGAAAUUAACCUAAAAAGAAAUUUAGUUUAAUAAGGAAAGAGUAAUGCUUAGCUCAGAUAUUAAGAUAAUUUAGUCCUAAAUGAGAUGAAAAUGUAAAUAUUUGCAAAAUAAACUAUUCUGUGUGUUUGAGGUAAAACAGUAAGGUAAACUGAAGGGAAAAAAUACAGAUUGAUCCUUUAUUUUCAGCUUUAUUUUCAGCAUUGUUGAUGUUAACAUUUGAUUGGUUGCUGUGGGUGUUAGUCAGUGUCACUUGUGGUGAUUGGCUGUAACCAAGAAAAUGAGCUGGACUGGGUGGGAAAGAAAAAACGGAAGGGACAGCGAAAAAAAAAAGCCGCGAGAGAGAGACGGGAGAGACACAAAGUAGGAGAGGUGACCACAGAGCUGGAGAAAAGUGGAGAAACUUACAGAUAUGCAGUUUGUCGAAUGUUUACGUAACGUUAUAAGACGUUAUAGCUGAGGACAGUAAAGCACAGUACUCGCUUAACCGCAGUGUGUUAGAGUGCAGGUUUAAUGAGAGUGUGGCUAACUGAGCUAACGUUGGCGAGCCACUGGAGCAGAGGACGCCAUUGCUGAUCUUGGACUGUUUGGAGUUCCGCACGAGGACCUAACGAGGACUUUGCCUCCGCUGCCGUUUGGCUUGAUCUUUUCACCGCUUCCUGUUCUGUUGUCUGGACGCUGAACUGUAAGUUGGACCGUGUGUAUUGUUACUCUGUUGAGAGAGAGGGAAAAAAGGAUUUUGUCGGCCACACCGCACACGAGCUACACACAGGCCUGCAACUUUUUUAUUUUUGCGCGCAACUGAGAGACUGUGUGUGUGUGCAUGCGGCCCGAUGUGUGUUUGUGUGGUAACUGAUUAAGUACAUGAAAGUAUUUGGAGUUAGCCUAUUAAUGUUUUGAAGGGUAAAGCAGAAAAAGCAAAAACAAGACAUUUGCUGAAGAAUUAAGAAUCAACAGUGUGUGAUAUAGUAUUUUGGUAUCAAAGACAGGUUUUCUAUAAUUUUAAAGUAAGAAGAACAACCAAGUUCUUUUAAGCUUUAUUGUAGUCGAGCGAACUUAUACUGCUCCCACCGAAGUUUGGACCCAGCCACGUGGGCCAUUACGCCAGCAGUAACAGAGGACAACCACGAAACUAAACCCAGCUAAAAGCCUACCACUGCAAGUUUUCUUCAAACCAAGCCAAUUGAGGACGGAUCUCCGGAGCAAUUCUCUGGCAGAGAAAGCGACUGGCCGACGGCUUGUUAAGCCAUACCAACGGAGAACGCACGAAACUCAGCCAGCGUGAGGCCGACCUAACACCAACCGACUGGAGACACAACAAGCAGUAAGGCUAAAACCCUGCAUUCUGUGGUUGAGUUGAUGUCCAAUAGUCUGUUAAUCCAUUAGCUUUAAUCCUUAAUCAUUCCAGCCUAAAACUCCUAGACAAAUUUAACCGAGUUAGUAUCAUAUAAUCUGCGUUUAUUAGUUGUCUUUCUCCCUAUGAAUCAAAUUCUCCCCACAAUAGAACAACUCAAUUUACAUUGAACUCCACAACAUUCUCCUUGUUUGCAUCAUGUUUGUUUAGCCAUUGUUUAUUUCUUUGAUGUAUAUUUAACCGCAUUUAUAUCCACCUUUUAGUUAGUUAAUAAAUUUCACCGUAAUCACA